CCUACGGGAGGCAGCAGUGGGGAAUAUUGCACAAUGGGGGAAACCCUGAUGCAGCGACGUCGCGUGAGUGAAGAAGUAAUUCGUUAUGUAAAGCCCUAUCAGCAGGGAAGAAAAUGACGGUACCUGAGUAAGAAGCCCCGGGUAACUACGUGCCAGCAGCCGCGGUAAUACGGAGGGGGCAAGCGUUAUCCGGAUUGACUGGGUGUAAAGGGAGCGUAGACGGCAGUGCAAGUCUGGCGUGAAAGGCGGGGGCUCAACCCCCGGACUGCUCUGGAAACUGUACGGCUGGAGUGAAGGAGAGGUAAGUGGAAUGCCUGGUGUAGCGGUGAAAUGCGUAGAUAUUAGGAGGAACACCAGUGGCGAAGGCGGCUUACUGGACUGUAACUGACGUUGAGGCUCGAAAGCGUGGGGAGCGAACAGGAUUAGAUACCCCAGUAGUC
This 440-nucleotide ribosomal RNA is filed under the name uncultured bacterium. Its description in RNAcentral is "partial 16S ribosomal RNA". It matches the Rfam family "Bacterial small subunit ribosomal RNA", at positions 338 to 795 of the family's 1533-position model. The record is from RNAcentral.